RNAcentral lists this ribosomal RNA (226 nucleotides) under uncultured bacterium. RNAcentral describes it as "partial 16S ribosomal RNA". It matches the Rfam family "Bacterial small subunit ribosomal RNA", at positions 794 to 1019 of the family's 1533-position model. The record is from RNAcentral.
UCCACGCAGUAAACGAUGAAUGUUAGUCGUCGGGAUGCAAGUCAUUUCGGUGAUGCAGUUAACACAUUAAACAUUCCGCCUGGGGAGUACGGUCGCAAGAUUAAAACUCAAAGGAAUAGACGGGGACCCGCACAAGUGGUGGAGCAUGUGGUUUAAUUCGAAGAUACGCGAAGAACCUUACCUAGCCUUGACAUUGAUAGAAUCCCGUAGAAAUACAGGAGUGCCC